CUGGGCCUACGGGAGGCAGCAGUGAGGAAUAUUGGUCAAUGGGAGAGAUCCUGAACCAGCCAAGCCGCGUGAGGGAAGACGGCCCUAUGGGUUGUAAACCUCUUUUGUCGGAGAACAAAACCCGGGACGUGUCCCGGACUGCGUGUAUCCGAAGAAAAAGCAUCGGCUAACUCCGUGCCAGCAGCCGCGGUAAUACGGAGGAUGCGAGCGUUAUCCGGAUUUAUUGGGGUUAAAGGGUGCGUAGGCGGUCCGUUAAGUUAGCGGUAAAAUUGCGGGGCUCAACCCCGGCGAGCCGUCGAAACUGG
Molecule: ribosomal RNA, 305 nt
Filed under: uncultured bacterium
Lineage: Bacteria
Description: bacterial SSU rRNA
Rfam family: Bacterial small subunit ribosomal RNA
Source: RNAcentral